RNAcentral lists this ribosomal RNA (258 nucleotides) under uncultured bacterium. RNAcentral describes it as "partial 16S ribosomal RNA". It matches the Rfam family "Bacterial small subunit ribosomal RNA", at positions 524 to 777 of the family's 1533-position model. The record is from RNAcentral.
GACGGAGGGAUGCAAGUGUUAUCCGGAAUCACUGGGCGUAAAGCGUCUGUAGGUGGUUUAAUAAGUCAACUGUUAAAUCUUGAGGCUCAACCUCAAAAUCGCAGUCGAAACUAUUAGGCUAGAGUAUAGUAGGGGGUAAAGGGAAUUUCCAGUGGAGCGGUGGAAAUGACGUAGAGAUUGGAAAGAACACCGAUGGCGAAGGCACUUACUGGGCUAUUACUAACACUCAGAGACGGAAAGCUAGGGUAGCAAAUGGGG